GGCCUGCGGUAAUUUAACAUGCACCGAUCAGUGCUUUGGCUCUGCCUCAUACGGUGGUUGGCACUUCAAUGGGCACUUGAGAUUGUGCCUUCCUAAUGACAACACACAUUGUGGUGGUGUUAAGAACGAUUUUCAGAGCUGUGAGGAAUGCAACCAAAAGUGCAACACUAGCGUGUGUGCCGUAGAAAUGACGACGCAAGCUCCGGAUGCUGCGCGGAAAGUGCGUGGGCAUGGGAAGCGUUAGAAUGGGCAUUCAACGCACUCUGUGACACAACUGCUUCAGAAAAAAAAAGUUGUACCUCUGUUCACGCAAGUUAGUUUACGAUAAUGAAAAAAGAAGGGCAUCUGUAGACAUAGGCUAAUAGUUACACACAGGAAUCUGAGACCAAUAAAAAGUAUUUUUU
Dermacentor silvarum is the source of this 404-nucleotide long non-coding RNA. RefSeq lists it as uncharacterized. NCBI's taxonomy places the organism in Eukaryota, Metazoa, Arthropoda, Arachnida, Ixodida, Ixodidae. The transcript is spliced from 2 exons. The record is from RefSeq and is a predicted model, not a curated record.